AGCGAACGCUGGCGGCAGGCCUAAUACAUGCAAGUCGAACGGAUCCUUCGGGAUUAGUGGCGGACGGGUGAGUAACACGUGGGAACGUGCCCUUUGGUUCGGAACAACUCAGGGAAACUUGGGCUAAUACCGGAUAAGCCCUUCGGGGUAAAGGAUUUAUUCGCCAUUGGAGCGGCCCGCGUCUGAUUAGCUAGUUGGUGGGGUAAAGGACCUACCAAGGCGACGAUCAGUAGCUGGUCUGAGAGGAUGACAGCCACACUGGGACUGAGACACGGCCCAGACUCCUACGGGA
RNAcentral lists this ribosomal RNA (292 nucleotides) under uncultured bacterium. RNAcentral describes it as "partial 16S ribosomal RNA". It matches the Rfam family "Bacterial small subunit ribosomal RNA", at positions 29 to 346 of the family's 1533-position model. The record is from RNAcentral.